This 214-nucleotide ribosomal RNA is filed under the name uncultured bacterium. Its description in RNAcentral is "partial 16S ribosomal RNA". It matches the Rfam family "Bacterial small subunit ribosomal RNA", at positions 122 to 334 of the family's 1533-position model. The record is from RNAcentral.
CAACCUGCCCUGUACUGUGGAAUAAUCAUUGGAAACGAUGACUAAUACCGCAUGUGGUCCUCGGAAGGCAUCUUCUGAGGAAGAAAGGAUUUAUUCGGUACAGGAUGGGCCCGCAUCUGAUUAGCUAGUUGGUGAGAUAACAGCCCACUAAGGCGACGAUCAGUAGCCGACCUGAGAGGGUGAUCGGCCACAUUGGGACUGAGACACGGCCCAG